RNAcentral lists this non-coding RNA (191 nucleotides) under Phycomyces blakesleeanus NRRL 1555(-). RNAcentral's name for it is "Eukaryotic large subunit ribosomal RNA". It matches the Rfam family "Eukaryotic large subunit ribosomal RNA", at positions 1640 to 1828 of the family's 3401-position model. The record is from Rfam by way of RNAcentral. Lineage: Eukaryota; Fungi; Mucoromycota; Mucoromycetes; Mucorales; Phycomycetaceae.
UGCGGCAACGCAAAUGAAUUUGGAGACAUCAGUGUGGAUCCCAGGAAGAGUUCUCUUUUCUUUUUAACAGCCUGUGUUUGCCAUGAAAUCAGUUUAGCUGGAGAAAUGGCUAACCGGUUGGUAGAGCAUCGUACUUUUUGCGGUGUCUGGUGCAUUCACAACGAUCCUUGAAAAUCCAAAGGAAAGAUUAA